Non-coding RNA from Cyanistes caeruleus (blue tit), 3000 nucleotides. NCBI's taxonomy places the organism in Eukaryota, Metazoa, Chordata, Aves, Passeriformes, Paridae. The record is from RefSeq and is a predicted model, not a curated record.
GGACACAGCGGGGACACAGCGGGGACACGGAGAGCCCGGCCCGGCCGGAGCUGCUCGCUCUCACCCGCUCCUCUCGCCCUCCUGCCCAUCCGCUUUGCCCGGCCCCGCGCUGCCUUUGCUGCCCUCCACCGCGGGCGCUCCGCGUCCCCUCCGAAGCUCCAUGAGCGACUUCACGAAGAAACGAAGGGGAGGAAAGUCGAGGAAUUUUCUGCUCGGCAUUGGAUCGGGGAAAAAGGAAAACGGCGAGUUCGGUCACCUGCUGUGGGUCCUGCCCGGAGGGGAGCCCGGCCCGGCCGGGCGUGCGGGAGCUUUUAUUGCCCAUAAAUGUACCGGGGGAGCGGCCGGUAAUGCGAUCAGGAAGGGAGGCAUUAGGCAGAGCGGCUCAGGCAGCGGGCGCCUACAAGCGCGCUCUCCAAAGCCGCUCGGCGGCCGGCGGCAGUAAAGGUUUUAUUGGUGACUGAGAAGCGCCCGGCAGCCGCACGCUUGGCAUUAAUGACCGCUUCGGUGGCUAGGAAUUACACUGCCGGGCUGGAGGCGAGACCCAGCGGGCAAAGGGCGCUGCGCCGUAGUAACAAGUAUUUACUAAAGGAGUUAGUGCCAAAUGAAUGCCGGGUUCCAGCCUUCGAUUUGCCGGAUAAAUUUUUUAGUAACUAUGAAAGCAGGCCAAUAACAUUUAUAGAGGAAAGCAAAAUAUUUGAAGUUACAAACUUCUCUAAUAGCUGAAAAUUGACUUCUGACAACAAGCGGGAUUUCCCCUCCUCGUUGAUUCAAAGACACGUCUAUACUUAAAUUUAAUCCUGAAAGAUCUACUAUUUAAAAAAUAACAGCACCCCGCAGAGCAAUUUCCCAGCUGUAGAAGAACAUUUAAAACCAAACCGCAGUGUUGCCUGUGGGCAGACGUGUUUAGAGCCGGUGAGAGCAGAGCAUCCACAAUAUUUAUGUUAGGAUUUUCGGGUAUGCAGGGAGCACAGGAAUGUUAUUCUCUCCUGCAGAUCCUGAAGUCCUUCUUACAAAGUUUUCUUUUUGAUCUGCUUGUUGUCAAGUAAUUAGUAAAAGGAAUUACCCGCUCUGGCGCUGUGCCUUAAGGUAGCAGAGGCAUUAGGGCUGUAAACUUCGCAUUUUCUGCAUAUCUCCGGCUCGCCUUCCUCCUCCACCGGCAGCGGUCCUUUCAGGGGGGUUAAAAUUGCAAUUUAGCUCCCUGUAAGCUGUGAAGGGAUGUGCUAUGUCACCGUCAGAGCCCAUUUGAAGCUAACAGGACGGCUGCAGUGCCUCUCCGGGGUGCUGCGGCGGGGCACGGCUGGCACACACCGAGGCACAGCUGGGAGAAACAGAUGCCGCGACCAUCACAGCGACUUCCACUGUCCUCGGGAAGACAGUCUCCUUUUGUCUUUGAAAACAUCUCACGCGAAUUUCCCCAGGUGGACCACGGUGACGCGGCUGUGAAGUGACCCGGUUGUCACUCUGGGGGACCCUCCUGAAACAGGAGAAGAAAAAAACAAACCCCAUCUCUCUCCCCCCCGCACACCAUGCCCCCGCCUCCUCGGAGCCUAAGCAAGGACAAGCGGAUUCAUUUCCCCUGGCAAUCCCCGAGGGUCGCUUGGCUUCGCCUCCAUCCACGGCCGGCCACCGGGCAAAUCCCUCCGGCUGCGGGGGCACAGCUGCGGCCCGGGGACCGGGAGGAGGAGGAGGAGGAGGAGGAAGGGCAGCUCGCCGCUGGCAUUAGUUGUGAGCACCGCCUUAGCAGUGCUCCUGUCCGAGGCUGCAGGAACAGAGCCAACAGCGAGAUCACCGGGCGCUGGGUUUUCUUUGGGUGUUUGCAGAUCUCUACAAAUACGGGGCCUGCCGGUUUUUAUAAACAACUUUCAGGACACAGUCAAUCAAUCAUGCUGGCAAGCAAGCAGACCAGGAGCCUAGGAUAUAUACAAGGCAUAAAUUUAUACAUAUAAACCCUGUCAAUUUUGGAGUAGUUACAAUUUUUUUUCUAUAAGCCUAAGGGAAACCGUAUCUAGAAAGAUUCUGACAAGUCAGGAAAUCACAGUGGAAAAGUAGAAGGUAUUGUUAGGAAGUUAUGUUAUAUUGCAUGUUUUAAGACCAGCAUGGGAAAUUUUGGAAAAGAGAAAGAGAAAAAAAGUGUCUAAACAAGUCAAAGAUUUAAAAAAAAUUAUUAUGUCUAUAGUCAGAGAGAAAAUGUCAAGAAUAUGUAGCUGAAAACAUGAAACCUGGCCACUUUAGAAGAAUGUAAUAGAUUUAUCUGUAAAAGACACGAGUUUACCAGAUUUUCUAGUCAGCAAAGUAUUCUUUAUGUUGUAGUCAUUUCUAGGCUUUAAUUUGAAACAUAUUUGUAUCUAGGGAUAGGUCCUUGCAAAUACACUGUAUUGUUUUGUUCUGUUUUUAUAAAUGAUCUUUUGAUAGUAAGAGCUCUGCACAGCAUGGAGUUUGUGCUCUCUCUUUUUGACACUGAGUCCAUUUUUCUUGCAAAAGGAUAUAUGUGAACAAGGAACUCAUAAAAUGAAGGGUGCAACAGGUUUGAACAGCCCAGCAAUGCAGAAAGAAUAGUUGCAUAUCAAGGUAGGAGAAGGAUAAUAAAGUUUCCAGACUUAAAAGAGGAGGACAUAUUCUGUGCUGGUGUAAAUUAGGAGUUUCACUGAAAUAGAGGACUGGUUGGUACUGCAGAAACUGAGUGCUGUUCUUAUGCGGCUAUGAUCCAAAACUGUGGCUCCUUCUGCAUAGUGAGCAUUGAGGAAAGCCUGGGCAAUGAUGCUCAGAGAGCAGAAGCUGUGCUGUAGGAGAAAGCAUCAAGAGGAGCUUUUCCCAACUGGCAAAAACUGCCAAACAAGCUUGUAAAAUUGAGGGCCAGAGUGUUGUUUUUGCUCAGGAAAGACAUUGUGACUGCAUUGCCUCUAUGCAGCUAUUGUCAGGAAUAAUUUUAUUUUUUUGAAAUUACUGCAUUUGUUAUGUAAGUUUAACUAUCAAGAAUAAACUUGGUAUUUGAUCAUUUCA